Molecule: non-coding RNA, 71 nt
Organism: Podarcis lilfordi (Lilford's wall lizard)
Lineage: Eukaryota; Metazoa; Chordata; Lepidosauria; Squamata; Lacertidae
Source: the annotation of a GenBank genome assembly
GGGCCAUAGCUCAGUGGUGGAGUACCUGCCUUGCAAGCAAAAGGUCCCAGGUUCAGUCCCCAGCAUCUCCA